GCAAACUUGGUCAUUUAGAGGAAGUAAAAGUCGUAACAAGGUUUCCGUAGGUGAACCUGCGGAAGGAUCAUUAGCAAUUUGCAGCCCCUAGGGCUGUUGGGUCACGUCGGUAUGUCUAGGUCUCGCCGGAAACGGGGAGAUGAGGCCUGCUGGCGGUGCCUGGAGCAAUCCGGGCUUUGGACUGACGCUAACACCCGUGUCUACUAUCUUUGUUGCUUUGGCGGGCCGCUUCGGCGCGGCUCCGGCCGUCAGUGCCCGCCAGAGGACCCUAAACUCUUGUGUUUAGUAUUGUCUGAGUAAAAAAUAAUAGUUAAAACUUUCAACAACGGAUCUCUUGGUUCUGGCAUCGAUGAAGAACGCAGC
This 363-nucleotide unclassified non-coding RNA is filed under the name uncultured fungus. Its description in RNAcentral is "partial contains small subunit ribosomal RNA, internal transcribed spacer 1, and 5.8S ribosomal RNA". The stretch from base 1 to 73 matches the Rfam family "Eukaryotic small subunit ribosomal RNA", at positions 1759 to 1831 of the family's 1831-position model. Lineage: Eukaryota; Fungi. The record is from RNAcentral.